This 471-nucleotide ribosomal RNA is filed under the name uncultured bacterium. RNAcentral's name for it is "bacterial SSU rRNA". It matches the Rfam family "Bacterial small subunit ribosomal RNA", at positions 355 to 825 of the family's 1533-position model. The record is from RNAcentral.
UGGGGAAUUGUUCGCAAUGGGCGCAAGCCUGACGACGCAACGCCGCGUGGAGGAUGAAGGUCUUCGGAUCGUAAACUCCUGUUGCCCGGGACGAAUGGCUUCGACCUAAUACGUCGGAGUAUGACGGUACCGGGUGAGGAAGCCCCGGCUAACUCUGUGCCAGCAGCCGCGGUAAUACAGAGGGGGCAAGCGUUGUUCGGAAUUACUGGGCGUAAAGGGCGCGUAGGCGGCCUGUUAAGUCGAACGUGAAAUCCCUGGGCUCAACCCAGGAACUGCGUCCGAUACUGGCUGGCUUGAAUCCGGGAGAGGGAUGCGGAAUUCCAGGUGUAGCGGUGAAAUGCGUAGAUAUCUGGAGGAACACCGGUGGCGAAGGCGGCAUCCUGGACCGGUAUUGACGCUGAGGCGCGAAAGCCAGGGGAGCAAACGGGAUUAGAUACCCGGGUAGUCCCUGAGCGGGCUGGCAAGGCGCAU